GAACAGGGAUAGCAAACAAGACGUAGGAGUUUUGCAGGAGUUUAGUGGGAUGUGUGCGAGGGAGCCUGGAACAAGCCCCUGCGAUCACAAAGAUCACAAGGAGCCUGGUGGAGAAGAGAACAUAAUAACAACUUGACCCGAGGAGCCAGCAACGAGGUGUUGACACUUUGGCGGUCAAAUAGAAACUGAGAAAAUGGUGCCUCCAACUGCCAGUUUCAAAGGAAGCAAAGAGCACUUGCACGGCCAAGUGGGAAUCACGAGUAGCUAGUCAAUCUUCCCGCAAAGUCCCUGUGCAGGUGCAGAACCCCAUUCCUUAUGAAUGCAACAGAUCAUGAUCCAGAUCAAUUGUUAUGGAGCAGCUAACAAAUAAAUUUAUUUAUUUAUUUAU
Molecule: long non-coding RNA, 388 nt
Organism: Hemicordylus capensis (graceful crag lizard)
Lineage: Eukaryota; Metazoa; Chordata; Lepidosauria; Squamata; Cordylidae
Exons: 2
Source: RefSeq, a predicted model, not a curated record